UGAAGAAUAGCCUGUCAAUAUAGCCAGGAUAACUGCCUAGCAUAGCAACCCCAAAAGGGAAAUUAAGAAAUGAUACCCUUGUGGGGGAAGGGUUUGUAGGCAAGUCAUCCUUGGCUAAUAAACAGACUCUUCACU
Non-coding RNA from Capsicum annuum, 135 nucleotides. The record is from Rfam. NCBI's taxonomy places the organism in Eukaryota, Viridiplantae, Streptophyta, Magnoliopsida, Solanales, Solanaceae.